RNAcentral lists this ribosomal RNA (433 nucleotides) under uncultured bacterium. Its description in RNAcentral is "partial 16S ribosomal RNA". It matches the Rfam family "Bacterial small subunit ribosomal RNA", at positions 29 to 507 of the family's 1533-position model. The record is from RNAcentral.
AACGAACGCUGGCGGCAUGCCUAACACAUGCAAGUCGAACGAGACCUUCGGGUCUAGUGGCGCACGGGUGCGUAACGCGUGGGAACCUGCCCUUAGGUUCGGAAUAACUCCCCGAAAGGGGUGCUAAUACCGGAUAAUGUCUUCAGACCAAAGAUUUAUCGCCUUUGGAUGGGCCCGCGUUGGAUUAGCUAGUUGGUAGGGUAAAAGCCUACCAAGGCGACGAUCCAUAGCUGGUCUGAGAGGAUGAUCAGCCACACUGGGACUGAGACACGGCCCAGACUCCUACGGGAGGCAGCAGUGGGGAAUAUUGGACAAUGGGCGAAAGCCUGAUCCAGCAAUGCCGCGUGAGUGAUGAAGGCCUUAGGGUUGUAAAGCUCUUUUACCCGGGAUGAUAAUGACAGUACCGGGAGAAUAAGCUCCGGCUAACUCCGUG